RNAcentral lists this long non-coding RNA (598 nucleotides) under Ananas comosus (pineapple). Its description in RNAcentral is "long non-coding RNA (ACOM_LNC031105)". Lineage: Eukaryota; Viridiplantae; Streptophyta; Magnoliopsida; Poales; Bromeliaceae. The record is from RNAcentral.
AGGUUAUCAAUUUAAGUCUCCCAGUCGUGAUUUAGGCUUAGUUUGGUAUUGAGGUCAAUCUAACGCUAUUAGAUAAAAUGGAGUUGAGAAAAAGCAUUCAGAGAUAUGCUUCUGCGUUCUCCGAUGAGACCGCAGAAAAUAUAUCGUUAACCGGCUAACCGCAAUAUGCGAAACGUAAUAUUACGUACGAAAACAAACAGGGUAUUUUCCCAUCGUCGUUUCUUACCGCACGUAACGCAAUCUUUCCGCAAUCCCAAACGAAGUCUUAGGCUUAGUUUGGUAUUGAGGUCUAUCUAACGCUAUUAGAUAAAAUGGAGUUGAGGAAAAAGCAUAUAGGAAUAUGAUUCUGCGUUCUCCGGUGGGACCACACGAUAUGCGGAACGCAAUAUUACGUACGGAAACAAACAAAAUAUUUUUCCAUCGUCGUUUCUCACCGCACGUAACGCAAUCUCUCCGCAAUCCCAAACGUAGCCUUAGUAAGUUAACAUCCACAAUUUUACGCAGGUAAAAGGGAUUAUUAAAAUUAUUUUGUUUUACAUUAUUUCUGUCCGAUCGAUAUUUUAGAUAACAUAGAGAUUUAGAUCUUUUAUUUAGUUGG